RNAcentral lists this unclassified non-coding RNA (494 nucleotides) under Hevea brasiliensis (rubber tree). Lineage: Eukaryota; Viridiplantae; Streptophyta; Magnoliopsida; Malpighiales; Euphorbiaceae. The record is from RNAcentral.
UCAAAGUUCAGUAGAGGGUUUGCAAUCACUAAAGUUUUAUGCCUUUUCUUUAGUAUUAUUCUACAGUAAAUGAAUUAAGAUUCUAGGUUUAUCCACACCUCAUUCCUGUCUGUAAAUAUCUAUCCACUCAUCUUUUGAAGAACAGUUAACACUAAACCAUUCUUUUGCUCUCCAUAUUUGAAAUAUGAACAGAAACAUAAUCCGUAGUAAACCAGGGAAAUCAAAUAUAGAAGUCUCUCUCUCUCUCUCUCUCUCUCUCUCUCUCUAACUAGAUAAUGUUAGUUCUCAUACUCAAAAAAUCAUAAUCAUUGACAUUCAAGCAGCAAUGGCUGAGUUCAUCUCACUAAGAAUGCGGUGGUACGUAUGGUGAUCCGAUGUGUUUCUAAAUCCAGGAAUAAAGUCUGAAAAGAAUCUUAGCACUGCAGCAAGAAGCUGUGAAUCAUUGGAAGCUAAAGCUGCUUCAAGAAACAAUGAAGGCCGGACAGUAGUGACCU